UGGGGAAUAUUGCACAAUGGGCGCAAGCCUGAUGCAGCCAUGCCGCGUGUAUGAAGAAGGCCUUCGGGUUGUAAAGUACUUUCAGCGGGGAGGAAGGGAGUAAAGUUAAUACCUUUGCUCAUUGACGUUACCCGCAGAAGAAGCACCGGCUAACUCCGUGCCAGCAGCCGCGGUAAUACGGAGGGUGCAAGCGUUAAUCGGAAUUACUGGGCGUAAAGCGCACGCAGGCGGCUUGUUAAGUCAGAUGUGAAAUCCCCGGGCUCAACCUGGGAACUGCAUCUGAUACUGGCAAGCUUGAGUCUCGUAGAGGGGGGUAGAAUUCCAGGUGUAGCGGUGAAAUGCGUAGAGAUCUGGAGGAAUACCGGUGGCGAAGGCGGCCCCCUGGACGAAGACUGACGCUCAGGUGCGAAAGCGUGGGGAGCAAACA
Molecule: ribosomal RNA, 427 nt
Filed under: uncultured bacterium
Lineage: Bacteria
Description: partial 16S ribosomal RNA
Rfam family: Bacterial small subunit ribosomal RNA
Source: RNAcentral